This 487-nucleotide ribosomal RNA is filed under the name uncultured bacterium. RNAcentral describes it as "bacterial SSU rRNA". It matches the Rfam family "Bacterial small subunit ribosomal RNA", at positions 20 to 507 of the family's 1533-position model. The record is from RNAcentral.
UGGCUCAGGAUAGAACGCUAGCGGCAGGCUUAACACAUGCAAGUCGAGGGGUAUAGUUCUUCGGAACUAGAGACCGGCGCACGGGUGCGUAACGCGUAUGCAAUCUACCUUUUGCAGAGGGAUAGCCCAGAGAAAUUUGGAUUAAUACCUCAUAGUAUAGUACUUUGGCAUCAAGGAACUAUUAAAGUCACAACGGCAAAAGAUGAGCAUGCGUCCCAUUAGCUAGUUGGUAAGGUAACGGCUCACCAAGGCUACGAUGGGUAGGGGGUCCUGAGAGGGAGAUCCCCCACACUGGUACUGAGACACGGACCAGACUCCUACGGGAGGCAGCAGUGAGGAAUAUUGGACAAUGGGCGCAAGCCUGAUCCAGCCAUGCCGCGUGCAGGAUGACGGUCCUAUGGAUUGUAAACUGCUUUUGUACGAAAGAAACAACAUUACGUGUAAUGUCUUGACGGUAUCGUAAGAAUAAGGAUCGGCUAACUCCGUG